This 915-nucleotide ribosomal RNA is filed under the name Klebsiella aerogenes. Its description in RNAcentral is "partial 23S ribosomal RNA". It matches the Rfam family "Bacterial large subunit ribosomal RNA", at positions 611 to 1531 of the family's 2925-position model. The record is from RNAcentral. Lineage: Bacteria; Pseudomonadati; Pseudomonadota; Gammaproteobacteria; Enterobacterales; Enterobacteriaceae.
UAUAAUGGGUCAGCGACUUAUAUUCUGUAGCAAGGUUAACCGUAUAGGGGAGCCGCAGGGAAACCGAGUCUUAACUGGGCGUUAAGUUGCAGGGUAUAGACCCGAAACCCGGUGAUCUAGCCAUGGGCAGGUUGAAGGUUGGGUAACACUAACUGGAGGACCGAACCGACUAAUGUUGAAAAAUUAGCGGAUGACUUGUGGCUGGGGGUGAAAGGCCAAUCAAACCGGGAGAUAGCUGGUUCUCCCCGAAAGCUAUUUAGGUAGCGCCUCGUGAACUCAUCUUCGGGGGUAGAGCACUGUUUCGGCUAGGGGGUCAUCCCGACUUACCAACCCGAUGCAAACUACGAAUACCGAAGAAUGUUAUCACGGGAGACACACGGCGGGUGCUAACGUCCGUCGUGAAGAGGGAAACAACCCAGACCGCCAGCUAAGGUCCCAAAGUCACAGUUAAGUGGGAAACGAUGUGGGAAGGCACAGACAGCCAGGAUGUUGGCUUAGAAGCAGCCAUCAUUUAAAGAAAGCGUAAUAGCUCACUGGUCGAGUCGGCCUGCGCGGAAGAUGUAACGGGGCUAAACUGUGCACCGAAGCUGCGGCAGCGACACUAUGUGUUGUUGGGUAGGGGAGCGUUCUGUAAGCCUGCGAAGGUGGCCUGUGAGGGUUGCUGGAGGUAUCAGAAGUGCGAAUGCUGACAUAAGUAACGAUAAUGCGGGUGAAAAGCCCGCACGCCGGAAGACCAAGGGUUCCUGUCCAACGUUAAUCGGGGCAGGGUGAGUCGACCCCUAAGGCGAGGCCGAAAGGCGUAGUCGAUGGGAAACAGGUUAAUAUUCCUGUACUUGGUGUUACUGCGAAGGGGGGACGGAGAAGGCUAUGUUAGCCGGGCGACGGUUGUCCCGGUUUAAGCAUGUAGGCGGAGGU